RNAcentral lists this ribosomal RNA (505 nucleotides) under uncultured organism. RNAcentral's name for it is "bacterial SSU rRNA". It matches the Rfam family "Bacterial small subunit ribosomal RNA", at positions 29 to 507 of the family's 1533-position model. The record is from RNAcentral.
AAUGAACGCUGGCGGCGUGCUUAACACAUGCAAGUCGAACGAGAAAGGGAUUGCUUGCAGUCCCGAGUAGAGUGGCGCACGGGUGAGUAACACGUAGAUAAUCUGCCUUCAAGCCUGGGAUAACUAUUCGAAAGGGUAGCUAAUACCGGAUAAAGUCGAUCUACACAAGUAGAUUGAUGAAAGAUUGCCUCUUCUUGAAAGCAAUUGUUUGGAGAUGAGUUUGCGUACCAUUAGCUUGUUGGUGGGGUAAAGGCCUACCAAGGCAACGAUGGUUAGCUGGUCUGAGAGGAUGAUCAGCCACACUGGAACUGGAACACGGUCCAGACUCCUACGGGAGGCAGCAGUGAGGAAUUUUGCGCAAUGGGGGCAACCCUGACGCAGCAACGCCGCGUGAGUGAAGAAGGCCUUUGGGUCGUAAAGCUCUGUCAACAGGGAAGAAGUUACAAUUGUUUAAUAGAUGGUUGUAUUGACGGUACCUGUGGAGGAAGCGCCGGCUAACUCCGUG